AAACCCUUACCUCAGCCUCGAUGAAGAUCCGACGGCUUCUUUUCAACAGAAAACGGAGGAAACUCUCUCUAUAUAUUUUUUUGAUGGCUCUCUCUCUCUCUCUCGACUGGCAGCCCGAGGAAGAAGAACUCGGGUGUGGCGGCUCUACCUUGAGUGGUCUCAAAGGGAAGGAAGAGGAUGCCCUAAAACAGAGGAUCCCAACUUCUUCGGAAUAGACCCCCUCC
This 224-nucleotide long non-coding RNA is filed under the name Phoenix dactylifera (date palm). Its description in RNAcentral is "long non-coding RNA (PDAC_LNC008203)". The record is from RNAcentral. Lineage: Eukaryota; Viridiplantae; Streptophyta; Magnoliopsida; Arecales; Arecaceae.